CCUACGGGCGGCACCAGUGGGGAAUAUUGGACAAUGGGCGAAAGCCUGAUCCAGCAAUGCCGCGUGUGUGAAGAAGGUCUUCGGAUUGUAAAGCACUUUCGACGGGGACGAUGAUGACGGUACCCGUAGAAGAAGCCCCGGCUAACUUCGUGCCAGCAGCCGCGGUAAUACGAAGGGGGCUAGCGUUGCUCGGAAUGACAGGGCGUAAAGGGCGCGUAGGCGGUUUAUGCAGUCAGAUGUGAAAUCCCCGGGCUUAACCUGGGAACUGCAUUUGAGACGCAUAUACUAGAGGUCGAGAGAGGGUUGUGGAAUUCCCAGUGUAGAGGUGAAAUUCGUAGGUAUUGGGAAGAACACCGGUGGCGAAGGCGGCAACCUGGCUCGAUCCUGACGCUGAGGCGCGAAAGCGCGGGGAGCAAACAGGAUUAGAUACCCUUGUAGUC
Molecule: ribosomal RNA, 440 nt
Filed under: uncultured bacterium
Lineage: Bacteria
Description: bacterial SSU rRNA
Rfam family: Bacterial small subunit ribosomal RNA
Source: RNAcentral